Molecule: long non-coding RNA, 313 nt
Organism: Phymastichus coffea
Lineage: Eukaryota; Metazoa; Arthropoda; Insecta; Hymenoptera; Eulophidae
Exons: 3
Source: RefSeq, a predicted model, not a curated record
GCUAAACACACUACAUUCUAUUUCAGCUUAACUUUAUUAAUUUCUUCAUAAAAAUGCGGUUCAUUUUCAAGUUAUUGGUUAUAUUUGCACUUAUACAGUGCAUCGUCUACGUAAAAGCUGUAUUCUCUAUAAAAGAUGAGAAUAAAAACACUGAUCAACAAGAUAAAUCUGGUACACCUAGCUCCGAUAUAGCCGAACAUUCAAGAGAUUCGCCAGUUAUUCGCUUGGGUUGAAUUUCGGUCUAAAGUGCAUAGCGGAUGAGAAAUAUUAAAUAUUUUAGAAUUCGCAUAUGAACCAAUUAACUUACUUUUAA